UUUAACAAAACACGUUCCUUUUUAUGUAUUUGUCUUUGGUGAGAUAUGAGAUUAUAGCCUUAUAGAUGUUAGGCCUACAGAUACAAGUUGAUGCAAAAUUGAAAAAUUGAUUUUUCUUCGGGUUUGUGCUUUAGUAUUUGAAGCAGCUUUGUCAUUGUACAAAGGAACGAUAUGUUCGUGUUUUUCCGACAUCAUCUUGCUUUUGAAAACAACAUGGAAAAAGUCCCAGUUUCCAUAUAUGUACAACACUUGAUGCCCCUGUGUACAAAACUAUGAUGAGACUUGUCUGAGAAAGCCUAGGCCUAAUUGUGUUCUAAGUAAAUGCUGAAGAAUUUUUGUAGCAAGCCUAAAUUUCACUUGUACUUAGGACAUGUUAAUUGCUAGCCCCGGACUCCCUUGCCUUCGUAUCCUAGGCCCCACAGCGGUCCAUUCAAAAAGUGGGGACUCUGCGAAAAUCCCAUCUAUGAAAUCCCAUUUGCGUAUAUGGAUCACUAACCCGGCAUGCCCGGGGUCUGGACAACUCAACCGUUUAGCAACUGGACUUCGGACAACUCGACCAUUGAGACAACUAGACUGUCUGUUUGUGUAAGGCAGAGACAAGACGUCUGUUGAGACAAGUUGUCCGUUGGGACACUCUUCGCUCAGCCCAGUCGUCUACUUAGGCCACGGUGUGAGAUAAUAUACAUGUACAUGAUGCACAUGUAUGCAUUUAUGAUGGGAUGGAAUUUCGUAUGUACUGUAGAUAUAGACAAGCCUAAUUUCUGAGGUACAUGUACUGGUAUUUAUAAAAAUGGUGGCUGUCGUUAGUCAAUCUGCGCAAUCAACCGAUCUUGCACCCGCGCUUCAAGUAUAUGGCCCGUAUGCAUUACAGUCGUUUUCCUAGUUCCGGAUCACUUGAAAUAAAAACCUACCUCCUUGGUGUUUUCCUUCAGUUCUACAUUGUCAGGCAGGUUCUGGUUUAAAGUGAAAUGUAAACUUCUUGUUGAACAAAACUUGCUUUCAGAAAGUUUUGGCCAGAAUUCUGAUCCGCACUUUGACGUUUUGGAACGGUAACUGGAAAACAAUGAAUAGUCUAGGGCAUUAUAUGUCACUCACUGUGAGAGAUCCCAAAUCCUUUUUUCAUAGUCAACAAUCAUAUAAACUCUUGUAUCUAAUGUCUGUUUAAUCAUGACUUUCAAAGUUGCAUUUUGUUUAAAAACUGAAUGCAUAUUGUUUCCUAGUUUUGGAUCAUGCAUUAAGUGCAUGCACGCAAUAUAAUGUGCAAGCUCAUCUCGCUAUACAGACGUUGCAGAAAUGUAGGUGAUGUACAUGUAAUGGGUUCGUCAAUGGAUGCAGCAUCGUUGAUGGCUCGCGCUGUGCUGCUCAAAAAGUUGAGUCAAAAUUUACAAAACAUCCGAUUUUUUUUAAUUCGUGUACAUUGUCCCUGGUACCUAUCAUCAACGCAUCAACAAUAGUUUCUCCAGUUGUCAGUGACCUCUAUACAUGACCAAUAUAAUUAACAUACAAUUUGUACUUGGAACCAGAUACAAAAACCGAUACCGCGUCGAUAGAUUGGUGCAAUCCGGUUCAUAAGUGACUUCGUUGUACCACUGAUCGCAAGCCCCUCAUUGGACAAUCAUGCCGGGUGGACGGUGACCACAUUUCACCGGAGUUCGAGGAUUUUUGUAGAGCUGCAAUCUGACUGAAUAAUUUCACGAUCUUGAACUGGGAAAACGACUGUAUUACGUGAAGAGAUCUCACUGGUCGAGUUGUCUUUCUGUCAAAGUCGAAGUCAAAGUCCGCAACUCGGAUUUCAUAGAAGUCAUUUUCGCCGAGUCCACACUUUUUGAAUGGACGGCUGUGGGGCUUAGGAUAACUGGCCCCCAGUCUGGGGCUAGUUAAUUGUAUUAUCAGUCAUGUCAGUGGUUAGCAUGGUUAGGCCUAGGCCAGGAAUAAAUUGGAAAAAGUACAGACAAGCGGCAAGAUUAGAUUUGUAACAGGUCACCACAAAAAAGUCAAGUGUUAGGCAGUUACGUAUAUGCAGCAAAAAUCGUCAAUGGGCAACCCUUAAACACCGUAGAUUCGCAACAUUUUAUUGUUCCAUUCAUAAAGAAAUUGCUGUCAACAGCCCAUAUUACAUGUAUAUCACCCAAUAGUCCGAGUGGCAUCAGUUCAACUCGGACCCAAACCAACUCGGAUCCAUGCCAACUCAGACCCAUAACCAAUUUUGAAGUUGGACCCACGACAACUUGGACCCAACCUGUGUCAACUCUGGCCCACCGAGCCUUAGAUUGCUCUGGAUAGUAAAUGAAAUGGGCAAAGCCUGACAGUGACAGCUCGAGCAGGGAGGCUUUCGGCAUGGAUCCCAAAAUAUUAGUGCUUCUAUAGAUUUUCCAGUUCUAAGAUGAUUUCUGCCCUCUUAACAAUUCUUUUAAGCAGUACCUGUACCCUGUACACUCUUAAAGAAUUUUGUCUGAGAUUAGUAAAGCAUUUUCACAUUCCAAUGGAAUUAAAACAUUGCUUAUUCGGGCAUCAGAAAAUAUCAUUUCAAUGAAGCCUACUUCUGACAAUUGUUGGUACAGUUAAUGUCCUAGUUUCUAAAAAGCUGUGGGAUCUCUCAAUCAUUCAAACGCAUUCAUGGUGCUUGCAUGUACUGUGUACAUGUACAGGGAUUUAACCAAGCACGUGGUACUGACUCACAAAAGGCGGCAAGUUCAUUUGGCAUCCCUUGACUGUGGCAGGGUUACAGAUCACCACUGCUGAGACCGAAGAGAAAAAACGCCUAAUUAGUCCUAAUCCAAUUAACAUGCAAUUUGAGAAGAAACAACUGCAGGGGUACAUCACCGAAUUACAUGUAUAAACAAUUUGAAAGAGGAAAUUUCUCUUCCCUUCCCUCAUGUGAGUACAUGUAAAUCCAAUCAUUGGAAUCUCCGAUUCUCACUUGAUCCUAAGCCGGGCGCAUUAGACAGUGUAAGGACUGUUUUGGAGGUGAAUUCCUGUGCUUUUCAUACGGGGUAUAACCGUAUAAGCAUUGUUUAGUAAAGUUUUAUCCAGUUAUAUAGAAACUCUUUCCAAGCAAUACACUUAACAAUGCUUUUUUUUGGCUAAUUCUGCAACUAGUAACAUGUCUAUUAUGAUUUACUAUUUAGUUCAUACAGUCAUGACCAUGAUGACAAUAAUUGCUUUUAGUAUUGCUAUCAGCAUGAUCAGUUGUACAUGUAUGUUUCCUUUCAACAAUAAAAAACAGGCUAAGGCCUUCACAUCCUUGAUUGCGUAGUUGCCAGGUUUUCUCUUUUGUCAAGUCUGAUUGGUUUUUACAGUCAGCAGGUUAGUGGCGUGAAUAAGGGACCUGGCGACUAUAAUGCCAUCCAUUAGACCCGUAAACAGGGCCUUUUUGAUGUGUAUACUCCUGUCUCGAUACUGGGGGCUAGGAUAACUCGACUGAGCAUUGUCCAUGUUGUUUGCCAACUCGACUCAGGACAUCUCGAUCAUUGACCAGUGGGACAAUUCGACCUUCUGUGCCUCAAACAUGUCAAAUGGACAGACAACUCGACUGUAGGGACACAUUGUCCAUUGAGACAAGUUGACUCGUAAUGAAUGCGCUUAUGCUGUACAGUUGCAUUGCCCACACCUUUACUCAAAAGUUUAAAAAAGGACUGGGGGACCACACCAGCAGACUAGCAACUGAUCAUCAGGAGACAACUGUGCAUAGCGGACAAUGCGCCACAUUGCCGUUGCGACCACACACCGCACGCUGGUUUAGCGGCCAAUGCACUGUUCACCAGUACUGUUCAUGCUGCAUCACUGGGUCCCUAUGCGUGCCAUGCCCGGUGAUUCGAGUCACAAUGUAAUGCGACACAUACAAAUUUGCAAUCUGUGUUAAAUGCCCCAAACCUCAUCCUUCAUGUCAUGCAUGUUUUCGCCUUGCAUGGUUCAGUUGUCUUAACGGAAGACUUGAUAAAGAGUCGAGUUGUCCCACUGGUUGAGUUGUCUCAACGUCAAGUUGUUCCGAGUCGAGUUUAUAAAUGGUCAAGUUGUCUGACAACCGAUACUGGGCCUGGCUUGGGAUAUGAGCCCCGAGAUGGACCAAGAGAAGAAGCAAUUUUCUCAGCAACGAAGGCUCCUUUGGUCAGAACUGCACUUCACUGGUUCACAAGCGAAAUGAACACUCUUGGUUCCUUUCAACCAAUGAGGGGGUGCUUUUGCUCAAGACAGGUGGGAAGUGCAGGUGACGUUUUUCUGACAUCUACCAGGUUUUGUGAACUGAAAUUUUGCCAGGAUGCUCACAACUUGCCCCUUUGUUUGAAAUAGAGAAAGUAAAAAAGUGUGCUGAUUGCAGUUUGAAUGGGGUGCAAACAAGAUACAAAU
RNAcentral lists this long non-coding RNA (4347 nucleotides) under Acanthaster planci (crown-of-thorns starfish). RNAcentral's name for it is "uncharacterized LOC110973356". The record is from RNAcentral. Lineage: Eukaryota; Metazoa; Echinodermata; Asteroidea; Valvatida; Acanthasteridae.